This 974-nucleotide long non-coding RNA is filed under the name Paramuricea clavata. Lineage: Eukaryota; Metazoa; Cnidaria; Anthozoa; Malacalcyonacea; Plexauridae. The record is from RNAcentral.
GAUAUCGAUAUAGAAUUGAAAAAGGGCUUCUUCCUGAAUAUCCAAGGGCAGGGCCAACUGAUGAUGUUGAAGAAUGAAGACAUUUUAGCAUGGAUUACUAGUAUAGAUUAUAGUAUCUCUUGUCCUUUAUGAUGUCUUUCUGAAAGUUAUUGGUGAAUACAAAUUGAGCUGUGAUCCCUCAACGUGGCCAACAACAUGCUCCACCAAAUACCUGAGCACAAUAUAGAAAGUGCACAUACAUGCAGGGAUGGAUUUACUGGGAGGGUGUGGGGUGUGUACCCCCUAGCCCUGGCCAGAGGGGGUGCAGGAGGGUGCUAUUUUUUAUGAUAAAGCAAAAAAGACAAAAUGAGAUACAAUAAUUUGAGUAAUAACAUGAUAAGUGAACUGUGAACAAUUACAAUUCAAAUACAGCAGUUGAUGGGUGGGCGGCACACAUGACCGACACAAUUCGGCAGUUGGCACCAGAGCACCCCCCUACCAGAUCAUGCUGGAUCCAUCCCUGCAUACAUGUACUGUAUCAUAUUUAAUUAAUGCUUGAGCAUAUUUGUUCAAAUUUAUUGACAUUAAUAAUUAAAUUAUGUUUGUUAUAGUAGUGUACAUUUUGCACCAGCCACUCUUGAAAUUAGACGUCAGCCACUUUUUAACUAGAUGGCCAUGGAUGACCUAAGAAAUUGUUUUCUUUAUUAAACAGCAACUUGCAAGCUUUGUGAUAUUUCGUGAAUACCUCAAAAGUUGUCAGCUGCUGUUUACAUUAUCUACUUCAUAUGUUUCGAUAAUUUUUGUUGAAAAGAUGCUGAAUUGUCAGCAUGUGACAAUUCAUUUCAAGCACCAUGUAAGUUGCCACACAUCACCCACAGUAUUUUUUGGACAAGCCAGGUUUAACACCCUGGCUGGUACAGUUAUUGUAUAUACCUGUAGUAUAAUUCACCAUGUUUGGUUUUUUAGUAUGCAUGAACACUAUUAAGUUAAAGGAG